GUGGGGAAUAUUGCACAAUGGGCGCAAGCCUGAUGCAGCGACGCCGCGUGAGGGAUGGAGGCCUUCGGGUUGUAAACCUCUUUUAUCGGGGAGCAAGCGAGAGUGAGUUUACCCGUUGAAUAAGCACCGGCUAACUACGUGCCAGCAGCCGCGGUAAUACGUAGGGUGCAAGCGUUAUCCGGAAUUAUUGGGCGUAAAGGGCUCGUAGGCGGUUCGUCGCGUCCGGUGUGAAAGUCCAUCGCUUAACGGUGGAUCCGCGCCGGGUACGGGCGGGCUUGAGUGCGGUAGGGGGGACUGGAAUUCCCGGUGUAACGGUGGAAUGUGUAGAUAUCGGGAAGAACACCAAUGGCGAAGGCAGGUCUCUGGGCCGUUACUGACGCUGAGGAGCGAAAGCGUGGGGAGCGAACAGGAUUAGAUACCCGAGUAGUCC
Molecule: ribosomal RNA, 430 nt
Filed under: uncultured bacterium
Lineage: Bacteria
Description: partial 16S ribosomal RNA
Rfam family: Bacterial small subunit ribosomal RNA
Source: RNAcentral